GACGAACGCUGGCGGCGUGCCUAAUACAUGCAAGUUGAGCGCUGAAGGUUGGUACUUGUUCCAACUGGAUGAGCAGCGAACGGGUGAGUAACGCGUGGGGAAUCUGCCUUUGAGCGUGGGACAACAUUUGGAAACGAAUGCUAAUACCGCAUAAAAACUUUAAACACAAGUUUUAAGAUUGAAAGAUGCAAUUGCUUCACUCAAAGAUGAUCCCGCGUUGUAAUAGCUAGUUUGUGAAGUAAAGGCUCAACAAAGCGAGCAUACAGAGCCGAACUGGGAGGGGGGACGGCCAACAUGGGAAUGGGACACGGCCCAAGAUCCUAAGGGGAGGAGCAGUAGGGAAUCUUUGGCAAUGGAGGAAAGUCUUGCCGGGGAAAGCCGGGUGGGGGAAGAAGGUUUUCGGAUCGGAAAAAUCUGUUGGUAAGGAAGAACGUUAGGGGGAAUUGAAAGCUCAUGAAGUGACGGUAACUACUCAGAAAGGGACGGCUAACUACGUG
This 497-nucleotide ribosomal RNA is filed under the name uncultured bacterium. Its description in RNAcentral is "partial 16S ribosomal RNA". It matches the Rfam family "Bacterial small subunit ribosomal RNA", at positions 28 to 507 of the family's 1533-position model. The record is from RNAcentral.